This 73-nucleotide transfer RNA is filed under the name Camelus bactrianus (Bactrian camel). It matches the Rfam family "tRNA". Rfam says of the family: Transfer RNA (tRNA) molecules are approximately 80 nucleotides in length. Their secondary structure includes four short double-helical elements and three loops (D, anti-codon, and T loops). The record is from Rfam by way of RNAcentral. RNAcentral also lists the same sequence under 2 other names. Lineage: Eukaryota; Metazoa; Chordata; Mammalia; Artiodactyla; Camelidae.
GAGGGUAUAGCUCAAGUGGUAGAGUGCAUGUUCAGCACACAAGAGGUCCUGGGUUCAAUCCCCAGUACUUCCU